This is an RNA transcript of Syngnathus acus (greater pipefish), 2063 nucleotides long. It is a transcript of the gene named deoxyribonuclease I-like 1, with no coding region annotated. The transcript is spliced from 10 exons. NCBI's taxonomy places the organism in Eukaryota, Metazoa, Chordata, Actinopteri, Syngnathiformes, Syngnathidae. The record is from RefSeq and is a predicted model, not a curated record.
ACAGGAAAGCGCCCGUCAUGCCGUGCAGGCUUCAUGUUUCACAAAAGAGGAAGCCGUCUGAAGAACACAACCGUACUGCGAUGACAAUGCGGCACUUCUUUCUCCUCCUGCUUCCUUGUAUUAAGGUGUGUGGUGUUCAGGGCGCUUCAGAUUUCAGAAUCUGUGCCUUCAACCUUCAACAUUUUGGGGAAUCCAAAACCAAGAAACAGGAUGUCAUGCAGAUGUAUGCUAAGAUCCUAACGCGGUGCGAUGUGAGUCUGCUUCAGGAAGUGAGAGACAGCAAAGAAAAAGCUUUGCCCCAGUUGCUCGAGCAUAUUAACAACUAUGACCGUAAUCAUGCGUAUAAAGCCGUGGCGAGUGAGAGGUUGGGCCGGUCUGAAACAUACCAGGAGCAGUAUGUGUUUGUCUACAGGGCUGAUACAGUGUCAGUGACGGGCCAGUAUCAGUACCCUGACACUAGGCCAGGAGAUGUUGAUGCCUUCUCCAGAGAGCCGUUUGUGGUCCGCUUCAAAGCUCCAAAGACAGCGAUCAAGGAGUUUGUCCUCAUCCCGCAACACACCAGUCCGGCUAACGUCUCAAGGGAGCUUGAUGCACUUUAUGAUGUUUUGCAACAUGUGAGGAGGAUGUGGAAAACUGAGAAUAUAAUGCUUCUUGGGGACUUCAAUGCCGAUUGUGCCUACCUUUCCAAGAGGAGUCGCGGGAAAUUACGCUUGUUCCAAGACAAGAGUCUGUCGUGGUUGAUGCCGGAGAAGACUGACACCACCGUUCGAGAGAGCACAUCCUGCGCCUAUGACAGAAUGGUUGUGCACGGUGAAGCGUUUGCCAAGGCGGUUGUACCCUUUUCAGCAAAGCCAUUUAACUUUCAAAUGGAAUAUCGUCUCUCAGAAGAUGAGGCACUCAAGGUGAGUGACCAUUACCCCAUUGAGGUCCUCCUGAAGAAUUGCGCAUCAAAAGUGUCCUUUAGCAUCUUCAUUAUCUCACUUCUUCUAUUCAUCAGCAGGUAAAUCAAUCCUAGUUGGUUUCUGGUAAAACACGGUAAACUGUCUGACCUCACAGAAAUUCUUGAUUUCUUGCUAUGACAUCAAUGCCGGAAGUGUGAGCUUUUUUUUUUGUCUUCUUAUUUACCAAGCAGGAUUGGGAACUUUCAGACUUUAAUAGUGUGACACUGUCUUUUUACAGCAGUCAAAACAAGGCAAGUUUCUUAAUAUAUGUAAGGAGUAAAAUCAUAGAAUUUAUAUGAUGUAUUAUAAUCACAUUACUCAUGAAAUGUACGCUAAUUGCUUUUUUAUUCAAAAUGUUUUUUUUUAUCACACAUCUACCAGUAGUUAAAUGUAAAGCUUAAGAUGUGCGUUAUGCACCGGUUGUCUUUCACAUUGGAAGGAUUCACUUUAAAGCAAUGUUUGCUUUGUGUUUGUAUAUCCAUACACUAUAUCCAUAGAAAUCAAUAAACAAGAUUGCUUAUAAAUGUUCAGAGGUUGCACAGUUUUACUAGAGUACAAGAAAAUACACAGAAAUGAUUCAGAGGUUUGCAGAUCGCCAACAUAUCAGGUUAACCUGCUCGGGAAACGAGGAAAGAAGCAAAGGUAAAUCAGAAGCAUAUGAAGUUUUGUACUCAACUAAAAAAAAAAUUAUACAAGUUUUCAUGAAGGUUUCAUGAUGAAGGUUUCAAGAUUACAAUUAUGCAUCAUUUACAAAAUUUCUCCAUUGUGCAUAUGGAGAUAUUACAAUAGAAAAUAAAGACCAAGCCUUCACUAUAUUAACACAGUGUUGAGUCACUGAAUACAUACUUGCUUAUAACCAAAACUAGAUUAAAACUCAUUGUUUAUUCUUUUUUUGUUUUAUUUAAUGAUUUAUGGACUUGUUUAUUUUCAAUACAGCAUGAUUUAUAUUUAGUAUGUCUCCAUUAAAAAGAAGACAAUGCUCGAUAACUAAAUUCAAAUUAAUGAGACAAAACAAGAUUACUUUAAUAUACCAGUUGUGUUCUGUUUUACUUUUCGAGAAUUAUCAACACGUAUUUGUGUGGGCACGUGAUAGGACAAAGAGAUUCGGAGGUUGUACAUUUU